CGCACUUCCGGGUUCUGAGGGAACGGGCUUGCGCACAAGCGUGCGUGCGCGUGACCGCCUCCACCGGCGGACUCGUGAGCGCGCCGCUGCCGGGACCGCUCCUGGGCCUUAGAGAAGACGCGGAUAAGGGCCAAGGAAAGAGGGAGGCAGCGGUUGCUGAGCUCCUUCGGCGCUUCGGCUCCUGCAGCUCUGACUAUUCGGACCGUCAAGGUAGAAUAGGAGGCGGCCAGUUCCCCGCUCUAAGAAGUUGCCUGCGCUCUGAGAGACAGGUGCCGCUGUGUUGCCUAGGAUGAUCUCAAACUGCUAAGCUCAAGCAAUCCUCCUGCGUCGACUUUCCAAAGCGCUGGAAUUAUGGGCGUGAGCCACUGUGCCCAGG
This 376-nucleotide long non-coding RNA is filed under the name Pan troglodytes (chimpanzee). RNAcentral describes it as "long non-coding RNA NONPTRT003850". Lineage: Eukaryota; Metazoa; Chordata; Mammalia; Primates; Hominidae. The record is from RNAcentral.